CUCAGCCUCCCCACCCCAGCCCCGCCCCCGGGCCCAGCUCCGACCCCGAUGCGUCCCUGAGGCCUGGGUCCCAGGGGCUCUCCGCGCCCGGUCGCCCCUUCCCGGAGUCGCCACGUCCAGAUCUUGUCACCGGCCCGGGACCACCUCGUGGGCCGGGCGGGGUGAAGUGCCGUUAGGAAGGACGGUCCCAUGGGAUGGGGGGCCGGGGAACAGGAGACGCACGCCAGGUCGGGAGAAGAGGACGGACUGCGCAGAGCAGAGGCCGCAGAGGGUCGGCCCGGGAGCGCGGGGGUCCCUCCACACGCUCCCCGUCCCCGCUUCCCACGCGGCUCCCUUCGGACCCCAGGGCAGGUGGGGACGAAGAGAAAUGCUCAGCUCCUGAGGCAGUGACCCUAGAGGGACAGAGACUGCAUCUGGGAGAAAUGUGGAAGGGUCAGCUGCGUCCAGUGGGCUCCCUGAGACACUGCAACUGCUUUGUCCGGGUCGUGUCUACUAAGUGGAACUCAAGCAAGAGUCUCCGUCUCUGAUGCUGGAGUGGAAUGUCCACGGGGGCAGGUAAUGAAGAAGGGAAAUUCAGGAGCAGCUGCAGCCCCAGC
This 596-nucleotide long non-coding RNA is filed under the name Homo sapiens (human). RNAcentral describes it as "HSALNT0216428". Lineage: Eukaryota; Metazoa; Chordata; Mammalia; Primates; Hominidae. The record is from RNAcentral.